GAUAAACGCUGGUGGCGUGCAUGAGACAUGCAAGUCGAACGAGUUCCUGGAGCUUGCUCCAGGCGCGAGUGGCGGACGGCUGAGUAACGCGUGGGUGACCUGCCCCGAAGUGGGGAAUAACUGCCCGAAAGGGUGGCUAAUACCGCAUGUGAUCGUUUGUUCAUUCGAACGAUCAAAGCAGUAAUGCGCUUUGGGAGGGGCCUGCGUCCGAUUAGCUCGUUGGUGGGGUAAUGGCUCACCAAGGCGACGAUCGGUAGGUGGUCUGAGAGGACGAUCACCCAGACUGGGACUGAGACACGGCCCAGACUCCUACGGGAGGCUG
RNAcentral lists this ribosomal RNA (322 nucleotides) under uncultured Chloroflexota bacterium. RNAcentral describes it as "bacterial SSU rRNA". It matches the Rfam family "Bacterial small subunit ribosomal RNA", at positions 28 to 351 of the family's 1533-position model. Lineage: Bacteria; Bacillati; Chloroflexota. The record is from RNAcentral.